AUCUAGCUGACGAGUUCCAAACAGAACGAAACGUGCGUCCUGAAU
RNAcentral lists this non-coding RNA (45 nucleotides) under Schistosoma mattheei. Lineage: Eukaryota; Metazoa; Platyhelminthes; Trematoda; Strigeidida; Schistosomatidae. The record is from RNAcentral.